RNAcentral lists this long non-coding RNA (507 nucleotides) under Sarcophilus harrisii (Tasmanian devil). Its description in RNAcentral is "lncRNA (ENSSHAG00000022611.1)". Lineage: Eukaryota; Metazoa; Chordata; Mammalia; Dasyuromorphia; Dasyuridae. The record is from RNAcentral.
AAAAGGGGAAGGAAAAGAAAGGAAGUGAAAGGGAGAGACAGAGAGGUAUUAGGGAAUUCCUGAUGUGGGAAUUUCUACCACCAGGUUUCUCAGACUGUUCUUGAGAAGGUCUUCAAAGCCAGUGGAUGUCUACCCUUACAGGAUUAUGGACCAUAAUACUCUGUAUGGAGGAGAAGACUGGAAGGGAGAGUUGAAGGGAAUAAUAAACACAGUGAAUGAAGUAAAGAGCAUGCUAGAGGCAAUCCAUCAAUGAAUUAAAAGAUGUUUUUAGGUAGCUUCCUGAGACAUAGAAGAUCCUGGGUCAUAGCUGAUUACCUAAAACUGAGUCACCAACAUAGGUGAUACCAGAGACCUGCUUUGAGAGAAGACAUCCCACAUUCCCCUAACAAAUGUCCUCACGACUUGCAGGUUCCCGGGAGCUCCAGUCGAGGAUUAGCCUUCGUUUUCCCUGCAAUGAUAGGGUGCUCCUGCUGCCUGCAUCAUUCAGAGCUCCAGAGGAGGGUGCUG